This 447-nucleotide ribosomal RNA is filed under the name uncultured bacterium. Its description in RNAcentral is "bacterial SSU rRNA". It matches the Rfam family "Bacterial small subunit ribosomal RNA", at positions 330 to 797 of the family's 1533-position model. The record is from RNAcentral.
UCCAGACUCCUACGGGAGGCAGCAGUGGGGAAUAUUGCACAAUGGGGGAAACCCUGAUGCAGCGACGCCGCGUGAGUGAAGAAGUAUUUCGGUAUGUAAAGCUCUAUCAGCAGGGAAGAUAAUGACGGUACCUGACUAAGAAGCCCCGGCUAACUACGUGCCAGCAGCCGCGGUAAUACGUAGGGGGCAAGCGUUAUCCGGAUUUACUGGGUGUAAAGGGUGCGCAGGUGGCAGGGCAAGUCAGAUGUGAAAGCCCGGGGCUCAACCCCGGUAUUGCAUUUGAAACUGUCCGGCUAGAGUGCAGGAGAGGUAAGCGGAAUUCCUAGUGUAGCGGUGAAAUGCGUAGAUAUUAGGAGGAACACCAGUGGCGAAGGCGGCUUACUGGACUGUAACUGACACUGAGGCACGAAAGCGUGGGGAGCAAACAGGAUUAGAUACCCCAGUACA